Molecule: ribosomal RNA, 253 nt
Filed under: uncultured bacterium
Lineage: Bacteria
Description: partial 16S ribosomal RNA
Rfam family: Bacterial small subunit ribosomal RNA
Source: RNAcentral
UACGUAGGGGGCUAGCGUUGUCCGGAAUCAUUGGGCGUAAAGCGCGUGUAGGCGGCCCGAUAAGUCCGCUGUGAAAGUCCAGGGCUCAACCCUGGGAUGCCGGUGGAUACUGUCGGGCUCGAGUCCGGGAGAGGCGAGUGGAAUUCCUGGUGUAGCGGUGAAGUGCGCAGAUAUCAGGAGGAACACCAAUGGCGAAGGCAGCUCGCUGGGACGUGACUGACGCUGAGACGCGAAAGCGUGGGGAGCAAACAGG